RNAcentral lists this ribosomal RNA (492 nucleotides) under uncultured bacterium. RNAcentral's name for it is "partial 16S ribosomal RNA". It matches the Rfam family "Bacterial small subunit ribosomal RNA", at positions 28 to 507 of the family's 1533-position model. The record is from RNAcentral.
GAUGAACGCUAGCUACAGGCUUAACACAUGCAAGUCGAGGGGAAACGCCAUCGAAAGCUUGCUUUUGAUGGGCGUCGACCGGCGCACGGGUGAGUAACGCGUAUCCAACCUGCCCAUCACUUGGGAAUAACCUUGCGAAAGUAAGACUAAUACCCAAUGACAUCCCACGAAGACAUCUGAAUGGGAUUAAAGAUUUAUCGGUGAUGGAUGGGGAUGCGUCUGAUUAGCUUGUUGGCGGGGUAACGGCCCACCAAGGCAACGAUCAGUAGGGGUUCUGAGAGGAAGGUCCCCCACAUUGGAACUGAGACACGGUCCAAACUCCUACGGGAGGCAGCAGUGAGGAAUAUUAGUCAAUGGGCGAGAGCCUGAACCAGCCAAGUAGCGUGCAGGAUGACGGCCCUAUGGGUUGUAAACUGCUUUUAUAAGGGAAUAAAGUGGGUCUCGUGAGACUUUUUGCAUGUACCUUAUGAAUAAGGACCGGCUAAUUCCGUG